Molecule: ribosomal RNA, 468 nt
Filed under: uncultured bacterium
Lineage: Bacteria
Description: partial 16S ribosomal RNA
Rfam family: Bacterial small subunit ribosomal RNA
Source: RNAcentral
GACGAACGCUGGCGGCGUGCUUAACACAUGCCAGUCGAACGGAAAGGCCCUGCUUUUGUGGGGUGCUCGAGUGGCGAACGGGUGAGUAACACGUGAGUAACCUGCCCUUGACUUUGGGAUAACUUCAGGAAACUGGGGCUAAUACCGGAUAGGAGCUCCUGCUGCAUGGUGGGGGUUGGAAAGUUUCGGCGGUUGGGGAUGGACUCGCGGCUUAUCAGCUUGUUGGUGGGGUAGUGGCUUACCAAGGCUUUGACGGGUAGCCGGCCUGAGAGGGUGACCGGCCACAUUGGGACUGAGAUACGGCCCAGACUCCUACGGGAGGCAGCAGUGGGGAAUAUUGCACAAUGGGCGGAAGCCUGAUGCAGCAACGCCGUGUGCGGGAUGACGGCCUUCGGGUUGUAAACCGCUUUCGCCUGUGACGAAGCGUGAGUGACGGUAAUGGGUAAAGAAGCACCGGCUAACUACGUG